RNAcentral lists this ribosomal RNA (431 nucleotides) under uncultured bacterium. RNAcentral's name for it is "partial 16S ribosomal RNA". It matches the Rfam family "Bacterial small subunit ribosomal RNA", at positions 29 to 507 of the family's 1533-position model. The record is from RNAcentral.
AACGAACGCUGGCGGCAGGCUUAACACAUGCAAGUCGAACGUCCCGCCAGGGGAGUGGCAGACGGGUGAGUAACGCGUGGGAACAUACCCUUUUCUACGGAAUAGCUCUGGGAAACUGGAAUUAAUACCGUAUACGCCCUACGGGGGAAAGAUUUAUCGGGGAAGGAUUGGCCCGCGUUGGAUUAGCUAGUUGGUGGGGUAAAGGCCUACCAAGGCGACGAUCCAUAGCUGGUCUGAGAGGAUGAUCAGCCACAUUGGGACUGAGACACGGCCCAAACUCCUACGGGAGGCAGCAGUGGGGAAUAUUGGACAAUGGGCGCAAGCCUGAUCCAGCCAUGCCGCGUGAGUGAUGAAGGCCUUAGGGUUGUAAAGCUCUUUCACCGAUGAAGAUAAUGACGGUAGUCGGAGAAGAAGCCCCGGCUAACUUCGUG